AUGGAUAUGUCAUAAGUUGUUUUCAUAAGCUCAUAUUUUUUAUCAGACUUCAUGUCAAUGGAAUCUUCCCUGCAUCAUUCUUCUGCCUGCAGUAAUAUGUUCAGUUUUAUUUCACUUAUUAAUUAAGAUAUUAAUUUUAAACACAUAGGGUUAAUUACUUAAUUAUAACAAAUUAGGAAUUCUAUGAUGGGGACAAAAAUGCUUACUUUUAUUGCUUCAAGAAGUUUUUGGUCGCCAUGAAAGUACUCGAGAAUCCAAGUAUGAACACUAUGAGGCAACAAAAAGAUAACCAGGAGCACCCUUAACUAAAACAAAAACCACACACACACACAUAAACCAACUAACCAAAGAAAAUCAAGGAGCAGCACUCACUCCACACCAGACCAGUACCAUGACAGGCACACCAAACACACAAAGCCAAGCAAUGUCUACCACAAGCCAACAUAUCC
RNAcentral lists this long non-coding RNA (449 nucleotides) under Trifolium pratense (red clover). RNAcentral describes it as "long non-coding RNA (TPRA_LNC013643)". Lineage: Eukaryota; Viridiplantae; Streptophyta; Magnoliopsida; Fabales; Fabaceae. The record is from RNAcentral.